UUCGGUCGAGACUCAAAGUGUGGUAGGCCUAAAAGAAAAAGUUGAAGUUUCCGAGCCAAAAAUCGACUCAAAAAAUAAUUCGUCAGAAGAGUGCUCCAAUGACGAACAGUGCCAAGACAUGGUCUUAGAUGCCGAAACUAUGACAAUCGAUAUGGUUAUUGGUGAUAAAGCCGAUAUGGAGAAAUCUCAUUCGGCUAAGUUGCUCGAGUUAAAAGCCAAAAUUGGUGAAAUAAUUAUGCCCGGGGGGCAUAAUAAUUGUUCAACACAUUCAGCAGCCGAUGAUAAAAAAUAUUUCGCCAAGUCAAAAAUAUUUGGAGGAAAUUCUUUAUUCGGCCUAGAGCGAAAUCAAUUUGAAGAUUUUGUUAUUACAAGAUCUCGACUUGGAAUAAAGCAUCGUUGGCCUCCUCCUGACUACGGUUCGGCCACUUUUCUUUUCGUUUGUUAAAUAUAUAUAUUAUUUUCUUAAACAUACGGCUAUGCAAGCCGAUGCGUAAGAAAAUAGGGGGCAAUGCCUCGGUAAAAAUUUUGAUCGAAUAAAAGAAAGUUUGGCCGAGUACGAUGAGUUUGGCCGCAUAUAUAUAUACCAAUUCCCCUCGGCCUCGACUUCGGCUCACUUUACAAAAUUAUAAAAGAGGCGGCCAAAGGAUUUUAGUCAGGCAUGGGACCUUUCUGCUUCGGAGCUCAUCAUUCUUUAUUGCAUCACCUCAAAUUUUCUACCAAGAUCAUGGAGUUAUGUUCCUUGCGUAUCAACAGUACAGGCCGAACCAAAAUGACGGCCUGAUAAUCUACAGUUUAGAACAACCAAUAUGGUCCGUGGAAGGCAAGAGGAUUCUGCUCUCGACCAUAUAUAUUUUCGACCAUAGCUUUGGUCAUCAAAUUAAGGUGGUUAGUCGUUAAGCCAAAAAAUGUGAUAAAAAUUUGCAUGGCCGACAACAUUAUUCCAAGGCCAAGAUUUGAUUUUGUGUGUGUGUG
This 972-nucleotide long non-coding RNA is filed under the name Malus domestica (apple). RNAcentral describes it as "long non-coding RNA (MDOM_LNC006110)". The record is from RNAcentral. Lineage: Eukaryota; Viridiplantae; Streptophyta; Magnoliopsida; Rosales; Rosaceae.